This is a long non-coding RNA of Astyanax mexicanus (Mexican tetra), 393 nucleotides long. RefSeq lists it as uncharacterized. The record is from RefSeq and is a predicted model, not a curated record. Lineage: Eukaryota; Metazoa; Chordata; Actinopteri; Characiformes; Acestrorhamphidae. The transcript has 3 exons.
UAUAGACCAAACCGAGGAGCACUUCUACGACUCCAUCGCCGACACCACAGCAUCUCCACAACCGAAAAUGCACAGAUCAAAGACAAAUGAACCCAUUUACUCCCUGGCAACCCUUCCCAGAGACCAGAUCAGAGAGGAGAGUUUACCUGAUCCAGUGUACGCCCAGAUCAAGUGACCCAAGAAAAAAUAAAUCAUAAAUAUGUUGUUUGUUUGUUUUCGCUUGGUAAAUUGUGUUCGCCCAUUAUUAAAUCUUAAUAUUUAAGAUUAAUAUUCUGAUUUUACUGCAUGAUUGUUUUCCUGUAUAAUACUGUUUGGAAAAUGCUGAUUGUAAACUUCCAGUUUAUAUUGCAUCUGUUUGUAUUUUAUGAUAUACAGUAUGAAUUAUGAUCUGAA